UUGAGGUCACCAUUACUAGGCUCAUACUUCAAAUGAGGAAAUGGCUGUUUGAAAGUGUUAAGUGCCUUGCUUAAGGGCUCAUGAGCAGGGAGGGGUAGAGCCCAUGUUCAAACCAAGGCUUGUUGGAUUCCAGAGCCUGGAUUCUUUUCAGUGUUUCCUGGAGCUCUUCAUUCUAGAAGUCUGGCCAGGUUAGGGCUCCUUUCAACUGUUUCUCGACCACUCUAAAGCCUCUCCACAUUUUUCUUCCUAGCUAUCUUUCACUAAAGAAACUCAGUCUUUUGUAAGAUAGAACCAAAAGUCUGCUGAGGUGGGCAGGGUUCAGGAAGCCAUUUGUUUUUGUAAGGAAAGAAGAAUAGGAUCAGAAGCAUUGAAUGAUCUUACCCUCUUCUCCUUUCUUCCUUAACCAGGACUGUGGUGGCUGGUGCUGCGGAAAGACAGAGGAAAGAUUUUCUUUCCCCUGAACCUCUGGAGAGCAGAAUCUGGUGACUGGGUUCUGGAGAGAAGCCACAGUACUUAUAGAGUUGUAAGGAAACAUGGAAGGUUUCUGGUUGAGCAGUGAGAGACAGCUCCCCAGAGGUCUGCAGGAUGAGAAGGAACAAGCCAAGGGAAGAAGUGAGGCAAGAACCAGUCAAGAUGGCCAUGGAAAGAAGUAGUAGCCCUGGUCCAAGUUCCUCACCACUCGCCAUCCUACCUGCUGGAUCCCACGGAGAUCAUCUUAUUGCAGGCUUUAAAAAAUACAAUUCCAAAAGGAAGAUUAUUUAAGCCCGAAUUGGAACAUACAAAGCUGUGCAGAGGUCUCACUGGAAGAGGGAAACCGGAAUGGAUGAACUAGUUGGAGGUGCUGCUUCCUCACCAUGGCUCUUCACCCUCAGGUCUGGAGUUCUGACACCCCACUUCUUCAAGUGAGAGGCUGGGCUGCCUCAUUGCCCAGCAGACCCAGGAGGAAAGUGAGGCACCUUCACAUGGACCCCCAUAGCUCAUAGGGAUCUCGUCCAUCUGACCAGGGCUACCCUCCCUUCAGAAUUCAACUUAGGUACCACUGCUUUGGGGAAGCCCUCUGUGAUUUAGACUGGGUUAUGUGCCUUUUUUGGGAGGUUGCUAAGCCAUCUUGAAAUUUCUCUAUUAAAGCACCUGUUCCAUUU
Molecule: long non-coding RNA, 1142 nt
Organism: Canis lupus familiaris (dog)
Lineage: Eukaryota; Metazoa; Chordata; Mammalia; Carnivora; Canidae
Exons: 5
Source: RefSeq, a predicted model, not a curated record